Pocillopora damicornis (cauliflower coral) is the source of this 1750-nucleotide long non-coding RNA. NCBI's taxonomy places the organism in Eukaryota, Metazoa, Cnidaria, Anthozoa, Scleractinia, Pocilloporidae. The record is from RefSeq and is a predicted model, not a curated record.
AACAUCUACGUUUCCCAAUGACACAAAUUUCACGGACGGAACUCUUCCUAAGACCUUGUCUACUGUUACAGCUUCCCUCCCGCUCAUGGGAUCCUUCACAAUCUUUCUCACGUUCUGGAUGUCGCCCGACUUGCGAACUACAGCUCGCAGAAUGAUCAUGUUUAUAACAAAUGAAUAAAGGGUUAAGUUAACUAUUGGCAGACCUUGAAACUGGGUACAAGUGCUGGAUCCGGAAUGAAAAAACUUGCCAGACAAAAUGUAUCUGGACAACUAUUACAGGAGAGGGCUGGGCCAUCAUGACAUACAUCACCAUGACUGUGUUCUACCUACUGGUCAAGCAGCACAUAAGAAGAGAGCUAUUAAAAAAAACUUCAAUAAGCUGAAGUCAAGAUUUUCUCCAGGAAGCACAUUUUUAACAUGGAAAUCUGCUCAUGUUGCAAGAAUGAUGGACUGUAAAUUAACAUUUAUUCCCAUGAUAUUUAUCCUGGAGUGUAUUUGGGGAACCAUAUGAUUUUUCUUCCUUGUAACACAUUUUCACAAUCAUGGAAAGGAAAAUUUUACUUUACAGUGGCUUGAAAUUCUUCAUGUAAAUAACACUGCCCUAUACUAUCACAGAAACACUGAUUGAUGGACCGGUAAUAUUAUUGUAUUAUUCGAUGCAUCAGUAAGAUUUAAUUGCUUAAUUAUAAACAUAUAGUAUUCUUUAUGCUCUGAAGAGUUUGCAGACCCUGAUUGUUUGAAGAUUGGAUGACACUAUCCACUGGGUAAAUCUCUGUCUGUUGGACAGUGCAGUGCAUUUUGCAAUCACUUAUCUGCUAUGUGAGAAACCUGCUUGUUGAUUUAAAAACCCAGUGGUUGUCUAUAAAAGCCAAUUCCACAUAUCUCAACUAUGUGCUUUUGUAUUUACCCAAAUUUGUGGCGUGUGGCCACAAUAGUUUUUUUUCAGUUUGGUGGGGAAAGGAGAGUGGGGCUGCUUCUUAACCCUUAGUCCCCAAUGAGGUACUUGCAUCUUAUUUCUCUUCACAAUAUCCCCCCCUGAAUCACACAUUUAGGACACAAGAAUAGUUGGAAAUGUCACCAACUAAACAAACUCUUGAUUGUUGAACAAAUUCUUCCUGUCAGUACCUUAGGAAAUGUAUUGAAAAUAGUACAUAGAAUAUGCACAGUGAUGUUAGAGUAGAAAGGGUUAAUGUAUAAACCAAACUCUAACUUUUACUUUGUAUGUUUUUCUUCUAUGGCAUUAGGAUUAACAGCCAAGGAUUUACAAAUUUCAUCUUGUUUGUCUGGUGUACCACAAAGAUAAGAGAAAAGUUAAUAAUGGGGUGUGUUCAUUGCCUGUCACUUUUUUGCAGAUGUCAUAAAAGAGAUCAAUCAGUAAUUAGCAGAGAGAGGUUUUAUAAAACAUUAAAUGAUGAAUAGAUACUGUCAGUGCUCAUGCUCUGUAGUUGCCUGAAUUACAUUAAAUACUUGUCAUUUGGUUAUAUAUCUGAGUUCUUUUCCAAGAACUAACAGUUAUGGCAAAUGUGUAGUUACAGGAAUUUUUCACAGUUGUUUGGUUAUAACUAAGAUUGUUUUUAUCUCUUAAGUGGAGUAUGUAGUUGUUAUUUAUUCUUGUGUAUGUUUUUCCCAUAUUAAAAUAAAAAACUUUAAUUUAUGGCUUUAAAGCAUUGCCAUACCUCAGGGAACAGUUAUACUUAUGAAUGAUAUCAAUUAAAGCUGUGAAUAAAGUUUAAUACCAGUGGGGAAAGUA